AUGGGGACACUGGAGCCCCUCUCAAACCUCUGCUCUCUUACAACAUUAGAAUUGCAGGAUUGUGGAGAGGAUCUGGAAUGUCAGGGCUUGCAGUCUCUCCUUACAACCGGGGGCCAGCUUAACAAAUUAGAGAUCAUGGGUAGCCCUAGAUUCUUUGCUGAUUGGGAUCCCAAUCCCAAACGGGCUUUGGAGGAUGCUGAGGGAGGUGAAGAGCAGCAGACACAGCUUGUUUCAUCCACACUGCGUGAGCUCAUGACGGAUGACAUAGCAGGAGUUCUUGCUGCACCCGUCUGCAGAUUCCUCUCUUCCUCCCUCACCAAGCUACAACUUUUGAGGAAUUGGUGUGGAGGGAUGGAGCGGUUCAGCAAGGAGCAAGAGGAUGCCCUUCAGCUCCUCUCCUCCCUCCAGGAACUAAAGUUUUGGAAUUUCAAGGACCUUCAACAACUCCCUGCAGGGCUGCGUAACCUUACCAGCCUCAAGAUAUUAUCAGUCAACUGUUGUCCACCCAUCUUGUCAUUGCCCAACGAUGCCCUCCCGGAUUCACUAGAAAAGCUAUAUGUCAGAUACAACUGCACCCAGGAGCUAAAACAGCAGUGCAGGGGUUGGAGGGAACCAUCCCUGAAAUCAUAA
RNAcentral lists this ribosomal RNA (630 nucleotides) under Triticum aestivum (bread wheat). RNAcentral describes it as "partial small subunit ribosomal RNA". The record is from RNAcentral. Lineage: Eukaryota; Viridiplantae; Streptophyta; Magnoliopsida; Poales; Poaceae.